AAAUAAAUAUAGUUUAAAAGGAUCUACAUCUCAAAAUUAUAAAGAAUUUAAAGUUUUGCCUAUUAGUUCACUGUAUAAAAAAUUUGCCAUUAUGUGGGUAGUAAAAAUAUGGAAAAUUGGUAUAAUAUAGAUAAAUCUAAACAAACUAGGGAAAUUAGGGCAUAUGAUGCUAAAAUUAAUUAUACGUUUACUUCUUUUGGUCAAAAAUUUUAUAACUCUUUAGAUUUAGAUUUAA
Non-coding RNA from Cinara cedri, 235 nucleotides. Lineage: Eukaryota; Metazoa; Arthropoda; Insecta; Hemiptera; Aphididae. The record is from the annotation of a GenBank genome assembly.